GACGAAGGGGACUAGCGUUGUUCGGAAUUACUGGGCGUAAAGCGAGUGUAGGUGGUUGUCCAAGUUGGAUGUGAAAGCCUUGAGCUCAACUCAAGAAAUGCAUUCAGGACUGGGCGGCUAGAGGACCGGAGAGGAUAGUGGAAUUCCCAGUGUAGUGGUGAAAUACGUAGAGAUUGGGAAGAACACCAGUGGCGAAGGCGGCUAUCUGGACGGUUUCUGACACUAAGACUCGAAAGCGUGGGGAGCAAACAGG
This 253-nucleotide ribosomal RNA is filed under the name uncultured bacterium. RNAcentral describes it as "partial 16S ribosomal RNA". It matches the Rfam family "Bacterial small subunit ribosomal RNA", at positions 524 to 776 of the family's 1533-position model. The record is from RNAcentral.